Rosa rugosa (rugosa rose) is the source of this 984-nucleotide long non-coding RNA. RefSeq lists it as uncharacterized. The transcript is spliced from 3 exons. NCBI's taxonomy places the organism in Eukaryota, Viridiplantae, Streptophyta, Magnoliopsida, Rosales, Rosaceae. The record is from RefSeq and is a predicted model, not a curated record.
UCCCCCGCGUGUUCUCUCUCUCGUCCCCGAGCUCUUGCUCUCUCUCUCUCACCUCUGCAACUCCGGUUGCUUUCUCUUUCCGGCCACCAAAAAGCGUAAAACCGGUGGCUACGGACUCGUCUCGACCUCCUCUUGGUGCCUGCGGUGAUGGCUCAUGGCGGCUUGGCCGGAAAAUGACGCAUCGAGCUGUGGAAGUUUCACUGUAGCAGAAGUGGUCAACGCCAGUUUCUCCCGAUUCCGGCCACCUCCGGCGACGAACCAUAAUCAUUUGGAAGCGCCUUGCGAUGUAGAUGAUGCUCCCCAAAUAUUUUGCAGCGAUUUGAAGCGUGGAGGAAGAAUUGAAGGGCAAUGUUGCGAGCUACGGCUAGAUGAAGGAACUCGUUUGCGUGGUCGCCCAUUAGUACUUUUGCAGGCGCUAUUAGUUGAGGUCGGGCGUACAUGGAUCGAGGCAUAGUUGACGAAUAGCUUCCGCGCUUCUUUGUUUGGCUCUGAUCUAUUGUGGGUUACUAUUUUGGGUAGUCCUCUUUAGGGGUGACUCGACCAGUUCUCGGUAGAGUUAUCUCUAAGGUGGGCCCCGCAGGGCCACCUCGGAUUUCAGGGUGAAAUUCGGGGCGGGUCCUGUCAUAUAUUUACAAACCACACUCCUUUGCUAUAGAAAUUUCUAAUUUGCCCUUAUCUUCUUUAUUAUCUUCCUCACUUCACUUCCCCCUUUUCCCUUUCUUCUCACCCCAUGUCCCCUCCAACAGAUUAAGCAACCCCUUUCUUCACUUUAUCAGGUUAUUGUACGUGACUUUAAACUUUCUACAAGUGGAUGUGAUAAUUAAAGAGGAGUAGAGCAUGUAGAACCAUAUGUGAAGAGGAGUAUAGCACAGGUUUCCAAUCAAAGCAACAGCAUAGGGGACCAAACUCUCAGGUCGGAAGUUUUCAGUUUUGCAAAUUGUGGACAGAGUGACAGACCCAACAUUUUUUUGCAUCUAAAGCUUA